RNAcentral lists this ribosomal RNA (253 nucleotides) under uncultured bacterium. RNAcentral describes it as "partial 16S ribosomal RNA". It matches the Rfam family "Bacterial small subunit ribosomal RNA", at positions 524 to 776 of the family's 1533-position model. The record is from RNAcentral.
UACGAACUGUGCGAACGUUAUUCGGAAUCACUGGGCUUAAAGGGUGCGUAGGCGGCUACAAAGGUCAGAUGUGAAAUCCCACGGCUCAACCGUGGAACUGCGUCUGAAACCAUGUAGCUUGAGGGAGUCAGAGGUAAGCGGAACUGAUGGUGGAGCGGUGAAAUGCGUUGAUAUCAUCAGGAACACCGGUGGCGAAAGCGGCUUACUGGGACUUUUCUGACGCUGAGGCACGAAAGCUAGGGGAGCGAACGGG